GUGCUUAACACAUGCAAGUCGAACGGAGUUGUUUCGCUGACGAGACUUCGGUCAAAUCUUGAAACAACUUAGUGGCGGACGGGUGAGUAACGCGUGGGUAACCUGCCAUAUACAGGGGGAUAACACUUAGAAAUAGGUGCUAAUACCGCAUAAGCGCACAGAGCUGCAUGGCUCAGUGUGAAAAACUCCGGUGGUAUAUGAUGGACCCGCGUCUGAUUAGCUAGUUGGUGAGGUAACGGCCCACCAAGGCGACGAUCAGUAGCCGGCCUGAGAGGGUGAACGGCCACAUUGGGACUGAGACACGGCCCAAACUCCUACGGGAGGCAGCAGUGGGGAAUAUUGCACAAUGGGGGAAACCCUGAUGCAGCGACGCCGCGUGAGUGAAGAAGUAUUUCGGUAUGUAAAGCUCUAUCAGCAAGGAAGAAAAUGACGGUACUUGACUAAGAAGCCCCGGCUAACUACGUGCCAGCAGCCGCGGUAAUACGUAGGGGGCAAGCGUUAUCCGGAUUUACUGGGUGUAAAGGGAGCGUAGACGGUUGUGCAAGUCUGAUGUGAAAACCCAAGGCUCAACCAUGGGACUGCAUUGGAAACUGUAUAACUAGAGUGCAGGAGAGGUAAGUGGAAUUCCUAGUGUAGCGGUGAAAUGCGUAGAUAUUAGGAGGAACACCAGUGGCGAAGGCGGCUUACUGGACUGUAACUGACGUUGAGGCUCGAAAGCGUGGGGAGCAAACAGGAUUAGAUACCCUGGUAGUCCACGCCGUAAACGAUGAUUACUAGGUGUCGGGGGUUUAUAAACCUUCGGUGCCGCAGCUAACGCAAUAAGUAAUCCACCUGGGGAGUACGUUCGCAAGAAUGAAACUCAAAGGAAUUGACGG
This 875-nucleotide ribosomal RNA is filed under the name uncultured Bacillota bacterium. Its description in RNAcentral is "bacterial SSU rRNA". It matches the Rfam family "Bacterial small subunit ribosomal RNA", at positions 44 to 916 of the family's 1533-position model. Lineage: Bacteria; Bacillati; Bacillota. The record is from RNAcentral.